RNAcentral lists this unclassified non-coding RNA (341 nucleotides) under soil metagenome. Its description in RNAcentral is "partial contains 5.8S ribosomal RNA, internal transcribed spacer 2, and large subunit ribosomal RNA". The stretch from base 1 to 120 matches the Rfam family "5.8S ribosomal RNA", at positions 35 to 154 of the family's 154-position model. The record is from RNAcentral.
GAUGAAGAACGUAGCGAAAUGCGAUAAGUAGUGUGAAUUGCAGAAUUCAGUGAAUCAUCGAAUCUUUGAACGCACAUUGCGCCCUUUGGUAUUCCAAAGGGCAUGCCUGUUCGAGCGUCAUUUGUACCCUCAAGCUUUGCUUGGUGUUGGGCGUCUAGUCUCUAGCUUUGCUGGAGACUCGCCUUAAAGUAAUUGGCAGCCGGCCUACUGGUUUCGGAGCGCAGCACAAGUCGCACUCUCUAUCAGCAAAGGUCUAGCAUCCAUUAAGCCUUUUUUUCAACUUUUGACCUCGGAUCAGGUAGGGAUACCCGCUGAACUUAAGCAUAUCAAUAAGCGGAGGA